UUAAGCGACUAAGCGUACACGGUGGAUGCCCUGGCAGUCAGAGGCGAUGAAGGACGUGCUAAUCUGCGAUAAGCGUCGGUGAGGUGAUAUGAACCGUUAUAACCGGCGAUUUCCGAAUGGGGAAACCCAGUGUGUUUCGACACACUAUCAUUAACUGAAUCCAUAGGUUAAUGAGGCGAACCGGGGGAACUGAAACAUCUAAGUACCCCGAGGAAAAGAAAUCAACCGAGAUUCCCCCAGUAGCGGCGAGCGAACGGGGAGGAGCCCAGAGCCUGAAUCAGUGUGUGUGUUAGUGGAAGCGUCUGGAAAGGCGUGCGAUACAGGGUGACAGCCCCGUACACAAAAAUGCACAUAUUGUGAGCUCGAUGAGUAGGGCGGGACACGUGGUAUCCUGUCUGAAUAUGGGGGGACCAUCCUCCAAGGCUAAAUACUCCUGACUGACCGAUAGUGAACCAGUACCGUGAGGGAAAGGCGAAAAGAACCCCGGCGAGGGGAGUGAAAAAGAACCUGAAACCGUGUACGUACAAGCAGUGGGAGCCUCUUAAUGGGGUGACUGCGUACCUUUUGUAUAAUGGGUCAGCGACUUAUAUUCUGUAGCAAGGUUAACCGAAUAGGGGAGCCGAAGGGAAACCGAGUCUUAACUGGGCGUUAAGUUGCAGGGUAUAGACCCGAAACCCGGUGAUCUAGCCAUGGGCAGGUUGAAGGUUGGGUAACACUAACUGGAGGACCGAACCGACUAAUGUUGAAAAAUUAGCGGAUGACUUGUGGCUGGGGGUGAAAGGCCAAUCAAACCGGGAGAUAGCUGGUUCUCCCCGAAAGCUAUUUAGGUAGCGCCUCGUGAAUUCAUCUCCGGGGGUAGAGCACUGUUUCGGCAAGGGGGUCAUCCCGACUUACCAACCCGAUGCAAACUGCGAAUACCGGAGAAUGUUAUCACGGGAGACACACGGCGGGUGCUAACGUCCGUCGUGAAGAGGGAAACAACCCAGACCGCCAGCUAAGGUCCCAAAGUCAUGGUUAAGUGGGAAACGAUGUGGGAAGGCCCAGACAGCCAGGAUGUUGGCUUAGAAGCAGCCAUCAUUUAAAGAAAGCGUAAUAGCUCACUGGUCGAGUCGGCCUGCGCGGAAGAUGUAACGGGGCUAAACCAUGCACCGAAGCUGCGGCAGCGACACUAUGUGUUGUUGGGUAGGGGAGCGUUCUGUAAGCCUGUGAAGGUGGCCUGUGAGGGUUGCUGGAGGUAUCAGAAGUGCGAAUGCUGACAUAAGUAACGAUAAAGCGGGUGAAAAGCCCGCUCGCCGGAAGACCAAGGGUUCCUGUCCAACGUUAAUCGGGGCAGGGUGAGUCGACCCCUAAGGCGAGGCCGAAAGGCGUAGUCGAUGGGAAACAGGUUAAUAUUCCUGUACUUGGUGUUACUGCGAAGGGGGGACGGAGAAGGCUAUGUUGGCCGGGCGACGGUUGUCCCGGUUUAAGCGUGUAGGCUGGUUUUCCAGGCAAAUCCGGAAAACCAAGGCUGAGGCGUGAUGACGAGGCACUACGGUGCUGAAGCGACAAAUGCCCUGCUUCCAGGAAAAGCCUCUAAGCAUCAGGUAACAUCAAAUCGUACCCCAAACCGACACAGGUGGUCAGGUAGAGAAUACCAAGGCGCUUGAGAGAACUCGGGUGAAGGAACUAGGCAAAAUGGUGCCGUAACUUCGGGAGAAGGCACGCUGAUAUGUAGGUGAAGCGACUUGCUCGUGGAGCUGAAAUCAGUCGAAGAUACCAGCUGGCUGCAACUGUUUAUUAAAAACACAGCACUGUGCAAACACGAAAGUGGACGUAUACGGUGUGACGCCUGCCCGGUGCCGGAAGGUUAAUUGAUGGGGUUAGCGGUAACGCGAAGCUCUUGAUCGAAGCCCCGGUAAACGGCGGCCGUAACUAUAACGGUCCUAAGGUAGCGAAAUUCCUUGUCGGGUAAGUUCCGACCUGCACGAAUGGCGUAAUGAUGGCCAGGCUGUCUCCACCCGAGACUCAGUGAAAUUGAACUCGCUGUGAAGAUGCAGUGUACCCGCGGCAAGACGGAAAGACCCCGUGAACCUUUACUAUAGCUUGACACUGAACAUUGAGCCUUGAUGUGUAGGAUAGGUGGGAGGCUUUGAAGUGUGGACGCCAGUCUGCAUGGAGCCGGCCUUGAAAUACCACCCUUUAAUGUUUGAUGUUCUAACGUUGGCCCGUAAUCCGGGUUGCGGACAGUGUCUGGUGGGUAGUUUGACUGGGGCGGUCUCCUCCUAAAGAGUAACGGAGGAGCACGAAGGUUGGCUAAUCCUGGUCGGACAUCAGGAGGUUAGUGCAAUGGCAUAAGCCAGCUUGACUGCGAGCGUGACGGCGCGAGCAGGUGCGAAAGCAGGUCAUAGUGAUCCGGUGGUUCUGAAUGGAAGGGCCAUCGCUCAACGGAUAAAAGGUACUCCGGGGAUAACAGGCUGAUACCGCCCAAGAGUUCAUAUCGACGGCGGUGUUUGGCACCUCGAUGUCGGCUCAUCACAUCCUGGGGCUGAAGUAGGUCCCAAGGGUAUGGCUGUUCGCCAUUUAAAGUGGUACGCGAGCUGGGUUUAGAACGUCGUGAGACAGUUCGGUCCCUAUCUGCCGUGGGCGCUGGAGAACUGAGGGGGGCUGCUCCUAGUACGAGAGGACCGGAGUGGACGCAUCACUGGUGUUCGGGUUGUCAUGCCAAUGGCACUGCCCGGUAGCUAAAUGCGGAAGAGAUAAGUGCUGAAAGCAUCUAAGCACGAAACUUGCCCCGAGAUGAGUUCUCCCUGAGACCUAGAGUGUCCUGAAGGAACGUUGAAGACGACGACGUUGAUAGGCCGGGUGUGUAAGCGCAGCGAUGCGUUGAGCUAACCGGUACUAAUGAACCGUGAGGCUUAACCUU
This 2902-nucleotide ribosomal RNA is filed under the name Escherichia coli HVH 198 (4-3206106). Its description in RNAcentral is "bacterial LSU rRNA". It matches the Rfam family "Bacterial large subunit ribosomal RNA". The record is from RNAcentral. Lineage: Bacteria; Pseudomonadati; Pseudomonadota; Gammaproteobacteria; Enterobacterales; Enterobacteriaceae.